GUGUUGUAUGAAAGGAGAGAAGGUUAGCACUCCCCUUGACAAGGAUGGAGGAGGUCCUAGUGACCUUCAACACACUAAAUAGGGAAUCAUCAUAUUUGGGGAUCAUCAUAUUUAUAUUAU
Molecule: small nuclear RNA, 120 nt
Organism: Carassius carassius (crucian carp)
Lineage: Eukaryota; Metazoa; Chordata; Actinopteri; Cypriniformes; Cyprinidae
Source: RefSeq, a predicted model, not a curated record